RNAcentral lists this ribosomal RNA (497 nucleotides) under uncultured bacterium. RNAcentral's name for it is "partial 16S ribosomal RNA". It matches the Rfam family "Bacterial small subunit ribosomal RNA", at positions 28 to 507 of the family's 1533-position model. The record is from RNAcentral.
GACGAACGCUGGCGGCGUGCCUAAUACAUGCAAGUUGAGCGCUGAAGGUUGGUACUUGUACCAACUGGAUGAGCAGCGAACGGGUGAGUAACGCGUGGGGAAUCUGCCUUUGAGCGGGGGACAACAUUUGGAAACGAAUGCUAAUACCGCAUAAAAACUUUAAACACAAGUUUUAAGUUUGAAAGAUGCAAUUGCAUCACUCAAAGAUGAUCCCGCGUUGUAUUAGCUAGUUGGUGAGGUAAAGGCUCACCAAGGCGAUGAUACAUAGCCGACCUGAGAGGGUGAUCGGCCACAUUGGGACUGAGACACGGCCCAAACUCCUACGGGAGGCAGCAGUAGGGAAUCGUCGGCAAUGGACGAAAGUCUGACCGAGCAACGCCGCGUGAGUGAAGAAGGUUUUCGGAUCGUAAAACUCGGUUGGUAGAGAAGAACGGUGGUGAGAGUGGAAAGCUCAUCAAGUGACGGUAACUACCCAGAAAGGGACGGCUAACUACGUG